GUCUUUUUGAAAUAAUAAUUUAAAGUCUAAUCUGCCCACUGAUAGGUUAUAUUAAAGGGCUGCAGUAUUUUGACUGUACAAAGGUAGCAUAAUCAUUAGUCUCUUAAUUGGUGACUUGUAUGAAUGAUUGGAUGAAAUAUAAGCUGUUUCUUAUUUAUUUAUAGAAUUUAAUUUUUUCAUUAAAAAGUGAAAAUAAAUUUAAAAGACGAGAAGACCCCAUAGAGUUUUAUAUAUGAAAUAAUUUAAUAAUUAUGUUUAAGAGAAUUAAUUAAAAUUAUUUAUUAUAUUUUAUUGGGGUGAUAAAAAAAUUAAGAAAACUUUUUUAUAAUUUUUCCAUAAAUAAGUGAAUAAAUGAUCCACUAUUAUUGAUUAAAAGAAAAAAUUACCUUGGGGAUAACAGCGUAAUUUUUUCUUUUAGUUCAAAUAGGAGAAAGAGUUUGCGACCUCGAUGUUGGAUUAAGAUAAAAUUUAAAUGCAAAAGUUUAAAAUUUUGAUCUGUUCGAUCAUUAAAAUCUUACAUGAUCUGAGUUCAAACCGGUGUAAGCCAGGUUGGUUUCUAUCUUUAAAUAAAUUAAAUAUUUUAGUACGAAAGGAUUGAAUAUUUAAAAUAAUUUUUAAUUUUAGAAUUUUAUUAAUUUGAUUAUAGAAUUAAAAUUUUUAUUUUAUUAAUAUAU
RNAcentral lists this ribosomal RNA (674 nucleotides) under Zygaena nocturna nocturna. RNAcentral describes it as "partial 16S ribosomal RNA". The stretch from base 204 to 562 matches the Rfam family "Bacterial large subunit ribosomal RNA", at positions 2078 to 2643 of the family's 2925-position model. Lineage: Eukaryota; Metazoa; Arthropoda; Insecta; Lepidoptera; Zygaenidae. The record is from RNAcentral.